CAUCUCAUUCUCCUCUCAUUUUCUUGGUUUUCUUCUCCGAGUCUCUGGCAUUUUUUGGUCUCUCUAAUAUCAUCACCUCCGAUUUUCAAAUCUGUAGGUCAUUCUUUAUUGUAAAUCAGAUAUUGACGUUGAUUUGUGGCCUUUGGUUUGUUGUAAUCUCAGGCUUGCGUUGUGGCCUGUGUAUAGUGUUCAUGACAGGAAGUUUAGAGGCUUCUUUAGGUUGGUUUUGAGCUGUAAAGAACUAUUCUACACUUGUGUCGGUUAGGUGGUGUGAUUGUGAGACCUGUUAUAGAUCGAUGAUCUACUAAUUAGGUCAGUGAUCUGAUUGUUGUACUCUAAACUUAAUCUCUCUUUUGAGAGGUUCUUAAAUAUAGUGAUGGGUUCUUACGUCUGAGUCCCCCGAGUAGGCUUUGUCAAAUUGGUUGAGCAUUUCUUGUGUUGAUUAUUACUGUUUUCGUGGGUCUAUGUUUCAAUUUUCUGAAUAUUGCUUCGGUUGGGUGGCAAAAUCCCAAUAAACUGGUAUCGGAGUCUGGUGAGGCGUGGGUACCUAGGGCAAUGAUAUACGGUAAAAUACUGUCAAGCGCAAUGUAGCAACUAGAGAGAGCGAGGGGUUUGAGAAAACAAGACCGUUGAUCUGAUCUAACGGUGGAGGCUUAAAUGAAAAUGGUCUUGACCCUUGGGUUUGGCUAUAAACAGUUUGAAGGGGUUCAUUUCAUUUUCUUGGUUUUCUUUUCUGAGUUUCUGGCAUUUUUGGUCUCUCUAAUAUCAUCACCUCUGAUUUUCAGAUCCGUGGUUCGUUCUUUGUUGUAAAUCAAAUCUUUGCCUUGAUUUGUGGCCUUUGGUCUGUUGUAAUCCCAGGCUUGUGUAUAGUGUUCGUGACAGGAAGUUUUGAGGCCUUUUUUGGGUUGGUUUUGAACUGUAAAAAACUAUUCUACACUUGCGUCUUGGUCUUAUGUCGGUUAGAUAGUGUUAUUGUGAGAUUUGUUGUAGAUUGAUGAUCUAUUUAUUGAGUCAAUAAUCUGAUUGUUGUUCUCUAAUCUUAAAACUCUUGGGAGAAUCUUGCACAUAGUGAUGGACUCUUACCUUUGAGCCUCUCGAGUAGUCGAACUAGAUGACCAAUUUCUUUUUGUUGAUUAUUUA
This is a long non-coding RNA of Olea europaea var. sylvestris, 1140 nucleotides long. RefSeq lists it as uncharacterized. The transcript has 3 exons. The record is from RefSeq and is a predicted model, not a curated record. Lineage: Eukaryota; Viridiplantae; Streptophyta; Magnoliopsida; Lamiales; Oleaceae.